Molecule: long non-coding RNA, 322 nt
Filed under: dengue virus type 1
Lineage: Riboviria; Orthornavirae; Kitrinoviricota; Flasuviricetes; Amarillovirales; Flaviviridae
Description: Dengue virus 1 partial sfRNA1
Rfam family: Flavivirus DB element (bases 233-304)
Source: RNAcentral
AAGAAGUCAGGCCGAUUUAAGCCAUAGUACGGUAAGAGCUAUGCUGCCUGUGAGCCCCGUCCAAGGACGUAAAAUGAAGUCAGGCCGAAAGCCACGGCUUGAGCAAACCGUGCUGCCUGUGGCUCCAUCGUGGGGAUGUAAAAACCCGGGAGGCUGCAACCCAUGGAAGCUGUACGCAUGGGGUAGCAGACUAGUGGUUAGCGGAGACCCCUCCCAAGAUACAACGCAGCAGCGGGGCCCAACACCAGGGGAAGCUGUACCCUGGUGGUAAGGACUAGAGGUUAGAGGAGACCCCCCGCACAACAAUAAACAGCAUAUUGAC